Telopea speciosissima is the source of this 282-nucleotide long non-coding RNA. RefSeq lists it as uncharacterized. The record is from RefSeq and is a predicted model, not a curated record. Lineage: Eukaryota; Viridiplantae; Streptophyta; Magnoliopsida; Proteales; Proteaceae. The transcript is spliced from 2 exons.
CCUGACCAGUUACCCUAUCAAGCUCUUUAAUUAAGUAUACUCUGUUCUCUGCAUCCUGCCAUAGUCUAUCAAAUACACUCAAAACAAUAUUCAGUAGAUUGAAUUUUAUGGGGUAGAGAAAAAAGAAGAAAAUAUAUAACAAUAUAGGAUUCUAUUUUCAGUAAAUUACACACGAACUCAUUUAUCAGAAUCCAAAACUUCAAAAUAUGAUAAGAAAAUAGCCAUGACUAAGGAUAAACCCUAACAGAGGAACCAAGGUGAACAGAUGACCAAAAUGGAAAA